GGGUGCUCGAGUGGCGAACGGGUGAGUAACACGUGAGUAACCUGCCCUUGACUUUGGGAUAACUUCAGGAAACUGGGGCUAAUACCGGAUAGGAGCCAUCUUUAGUGUGGUGGUUGGAAAGUUUUUCGGUGUAGGAUGAGCUCGCGGCCUAUCAGCUUGUUGGUGGGGUAGUGGCUUACCAAGGCUUUGACGGGUAGCCGGCCUGAGAGGGUGACCGGCCACAUUGGGACUGAGAUACGGCCCAG
RNAcentral lists this ribosomal RNA (245 nucleotides) under uncultured Actinomycetales bacterium. Its description in RNAcentral is "partial 16S ribosomal RNA". It matches the Rfam family "Bacterial small subunit ribosomal RNA", at positions 85 to 334 of the family's 1533-position model. Lineage: Bacteria; Bacillati; Actinomycetota; Actinomycetes; Actinomycetales. The record is from RNAcentral.